RNAcentral lists this ribosomal RNA (252 nucleotides) under uncultured bacterium. RNAcentral describes it as "partial 16S ribosomal RNA". It matches the Rfam family "Bacterial small subunit ribosomal RNA", at positions 525 to 776 of the family's 1533-position model. The record is from RNAcentral.
ACGUAGGGUGCGAGCGUUAAUCGGAAUUACUGGGCGUAAAGGGUCCGCAGGUUGUUUUGUAAGUCAGAUGUGAAAUCCCCGGGCUUAACCUGGGAACUGCGUCUGAAACUACAAGGCUAGAGUAUGGCAGAGGGGGGUGGAAUUCCGCGUGUAGCAGUGAAAUGCGUAGAUAUGUGGAGGAACACCGAUGGCGAAGGCAGCCCCCUGGGUCAAUACUGACGCUGAGGGACGAAAGCAUGGGGAGCAAACAGG